This 468-nucleotide ribosomal RNA is filed under the name uncultured bacterium. RNAcentral's name for it is "partial 16S ribosomal RNA". It matches the Rfam family "Bacterial small subunit ribosomal RNA", at positions 28 to 507 of the family's 1533-position model. The record is from RNAcentral.
GAUGAACGCUGGCGGCGUGCUUAACACAUGCAAGUCGAACGGAAAGGCCCAAGCUUGCUUGGGUACUCGAGUGGCGAACGGGUGCGUAACACGUGGGUGAUCUGCCCUGCACUUCGGGAUAAGCCUGGGAAACUGGGUCUAAUACCGGAUAGGACGAUGGUUUGGAUGCCAUUGUGGAAAGUUUUUUCGGUGGGGGAUGAGCUCGCGGCCUAUCAGCUUUUUGUUGGGGUCAUGGCCUACCAAGGCGUCGACGGGUAGCCGGCCUGAGAGGGGGUACGGCCAGAAUGGAACUGAGAUAGGGGCCAGAGUCCGGAGGGAGGCAGCAGUGGGGAAUGUGGGACAAUGGGCGAAAGCCUGAGGCAGGGAGGCCGCGUGGGGGAUGAGGGCUUUUGGGGUGAAAACACCUUACGCGGGGGACAAAGCGUUUUUGUGACGGUACCUGGAGAAGAAGCACCGGCUAACUACGUG